This 253-nucleotide ribosomal RNA is filed under the name uncultured bacterium. RNAcentral describes it as "partial 16S ribosomal RNA". It matches the Rfam family "Bacterial small subunit ribosomal RNA", at positions 524 to 776 of the family's 1533-position model. The record is from RNAcentral.
UACGGAGGGUGCAAGCGUUAAUCGGAAUUACUGGGCGUAAAGCGCACGCAGGUGGCUGAGUCAGUCGAUUGUGAAAGCCCUGGGCUUAACCUGGGAAUUGCAGUCGAUACUACUCAGCUAGAGUAUGGGAGAGGGCAGUGGAAUUCCCGGUGUAGCGGUGAAAUGCGUAGAUAUUAGGAAGAACACCAGUGGCGAAGGCGGCUCACUGGCCCGGUACUGACGCUGAGGCGCGAAAGCGUGGGGAGCAAACAGG